Molecule: non-coding RNA, 107 nt
Filed under: Ignavibacteria bacterium
Lineage: Bacteria; Pseudomonadati; Ignavibacteriota; Ignavibacteria
Description: TPP sequence
Rfam family: TPP riboswitch aptamer (THI element)
About the family: Vitamin B(1) in its active form thiamin pyrophosphate (TPP) is an essential coenzyme that is synthesised by coupling of pyrimidine and thiazole moieties in bacteria. The previously detected thiamin-regulatory element, thi box was extended, resulting in a new, highly conserved RNA secondary structure, the THI element, which is widely distributed in eubacteria and also occurs in some archaea. Analysis of operon structures identified a large number of new candidate thiamin-regulated genes, mostly transporters, in various prokaryotic organisms.
Source: RNAcentral
AUUUAUCGUUGGAGGUGCUUCGCCAGGAGAAAAUUGCGGGGCUGAGAUUAAACUCAAUGAACCUGAUCCGGAUAAUACCGGCGUAGGGAUAACGAUAUCUCAACUUU